RNAcentral lists this ribosomal RNA (478 nucleotides) under uncultured bacterium. RNAcentral describes it as "partial 16S ribosomal RNA". It matches the Rfam family "Bacterial small subunit ribosomal RNA", at positions 28 to 523 of the family's 1533-position model. The record is from RNAcentral.
GACGAACGCUGGCGGCGUGCUUAACACAUGCAAGUCGAACGGUAAGGCCCUUCGGGGUACACGAGCGGCGAACGGGUGAGUAACACGUGGGUGAUCUGCCCUGCACUUCGGGAUAAGCCUGGGAAACUGGGUCUAAUACCGGAUAGGACUCCUGGCUUCAUGGUUGGGGGUGGAAAGCUUUUGCGGUGUGGGAUGGGCCCGCGGCCUAUCAGCUUGUUGGUGGGGUAAUGGCCUACCAAGGCGACGACGGGUAGCCAGCCUGAGAGGGUGACCGGUCACACUGGGACUGAGAUACGGCUCAGACUUCUGCGGGAGGCAGCAGUGGUUAAUAUUGCACAAUGGGCGCAAGCCUGAUGCAGCGACGCCGCGUGAGGGAUGACGGCCUUCGGGUUGUAAACCUCUUUCAGCUAUGACGAAGCGCAAGUGACGGUAGUAGCAGAAGAAGGACCGGCCAACUACGUGCCAGCCGCCGCUGUAA